GUGAAUCAUCGAAUCUUUGAACGCAAAUUGCACUCUCUUCGGAGAGUAUGCCUGUUUGAGGGUCAGCCUAAAAAAAAUCCACAACCUUUCUGUUUCGCGGUGGGGUUCGUCCGAAAUUGGGUUAACUUUAAUCUUUAGUUUAAGCGACUUAAAAUUUUCUUUACGAUUCCAUGAACGUUUUCAAGUUUUAAUUCCUUACACCUUUAAGGUAU
RNAcentral lists this unclassified non-coding RNA (212 nucleotides) under Glomus sp. Its description in RNAcentral is "partial contains 5.8S ribosomal RNA and internal transcribed spacer 2". The stretch from base 1 to 65 matches the Rfam family "5.8S ribosomal RNA", at positions 84 to 154 of the family's 154-position model. The record is from RNAcentral. Lineage: Eukaryota; Fungi; Glomeromycota; Glomeromycetes; Glomerales; Glomeraceae.